Molecule: transfer RNA, 74 nt
Filed under: bacterium
Lineage: Bacteria
Also listed under: 1 other name
Description: tRNA-Thr
Rfam family: tRNA
About the family: Transfer RNA (tRNA) molecules are approximately 80 nucleotides in length.
Source: RNAcentral
GCCGAUUUAGUACAGUGGUAGUACAGAUGCAUGGUAAGCAUCAGAGGGCAGUUCAAUUCUGCCAAUCGGCACCA